CUGUAGCUCAGUUGUUAGAGCGUCAGGGUACAUACCUGAAGGUCGCGAGUUCGAUUCCCGCCAG
Molecule: transfer RNA, 64 nt
Filed under: Chattonella subsalsa
Lineage: Eukaryota; Raphidophyceae; Chattonellales; Chattonellaceae
Rfam family: tRNA
About the family: Transfer RNA (tRNA) molecules are approximately 80 nucleotides in length.
Source: RNAcentral